RNAcentral lists this ribosomal RNA (253 nucleotides) under uncultured bacterium. RNAcentral's name for it is "partial 16S ribosomal RNA". It matches the Rfam family "Bacterial small subunit ribosomal RNA", at positions 524 to 776 of the family's 1533-position model. The record is from RNAcentral.
UACGGAGGGUGCAAGCGUUAUCCGGAUUCACUGGGUUUAAAGGGUGCGUAGGUGGGCAGGUAAGUCAGUGGUGAAAUCUCCGGGCUUAACUCGGAAACUGCCAUUGAUACUAUCUGUCUUGAAUACCGUGGAGGUCAGCGGAAUAUGUCAUGUAGCGGUGAAAUGCUUAGAUAUGACAUAGAACACCAAUUGCGAAGGCAGCUGGCUACACAAAUAUUGACACUGAGGCACGAAAGCGUGGGGAGCAAACAGG